Molecule: long non-coding RNA, 572 nt
Organism: Pezoporus flaviventris
Lineage: Eukaryota; Metazoa; Chordata; Aves; Psittaciformes; Psittacidae
Exons: 3
Source: RefSeq, a predicted model, not a curated record
CAGGAUUCCCUUUUGUUUCAUUUCACUCUUGUUUUAGGAGUAGAUUUGUUGUGGUCCUGCAAAAGAAUCCUUGGCAUAGACUUAAAAUAAUCUUAUGUGUGCCUAGAGAUGGUUUUAUCCCAAAAUUUGAAGUUAAAAAGAAAUUGGAUCAAUAUACCUGCAACUUCUCUGUCAGGAACUGAAUGGCAAGAACAAGGUUUAAAUUUGAAAGAUUUGCUAAUAAGGUAUUGAUUAAAAACCCUGUCCAUGUUGGAAAACAUCCAUGUUUUCCAUGCUGGAAAAACUCAGUUAACUUUCUGAUGCUCAAGAAACUAAUCUAACAUGAAUUAUCUGGCUUAACAAACCAUAUGAUAUUAAAAAGGGCUCCACUAUCUGCAGCAACAGUUGAAGAUAGCAGUGCUAGCCAUCAUGGCUCACCUAUGGACUGGUCUACAUUAGCAAGAGCUUGAGCUCCGGCUUUGAGGACUGACAAUGUAAUAACUCUCCAACAGCACCCCUAUUCAAGCACCACAAGUCUGAAGUGGGAUACCAGGACCUACUAAAAUGAAGGUGCAAUUUGGAGAGGUGGAACA